Molecule: long non-coding RNA, 393 nt
Organism: Saccostrea cuccullata (small rock oyster)
Lineage: Eukaryota; Metazoa; Mollusca; Bivalvia; Ostreida; Ostreidae
Exons: 2
Source: RefSeq, a predicted model, not a curated record
UUCUAUCGAGAUCAGAAACAAGAGGAUGAUGAAUUCCAAAUUUAUUGCAUUAUUUGCAUUGUACAUUGUAAUGAAUAAUGUCUAUGGAAUUGUGACACCAAUACUAGGAACAAACAGCAACAAAACAGUCCAAGUGGAGACAACAACAAAUUCCACAAAUUCAUCACAGGCUGAGGUGGGGAAAAGUGUGUUGGAAUCGGCUCUUGGCAUUAAGCUUGAUCUCCAGGGAAAGACCCCUUCUGUAAACUUAAAUAUCACCAAUCUGAAAAUUCUUUGUACGAUUAUCAAGGAUUUAUGCCAAAACCAGUACGACAGUUGGGGUAAAUGAAGAAAUCAGGAAUUUCUGCAAGAGGCUUCAAUGUCUAAAGUCUAAUAAAUUAACUUCUUAUUUCU